Long non-coding RNA from Nilaparvata lugens (brown planthopper), 272 nucleotides. RefSeq lists it as uncharacterized. NCBI's taxonomy places the organism in Eukaryota, Metazoa, Arthropoda, Insecta, Hemiptera, Delphacidae. The transcript has 3 exons. The record is from RefSeq and is a predicted model, not a curated record.
CGACAGUUCAAGGUUUUGAACUUUUCAGACCUGCACAACGAGUUACCUAUUUGAGAAAUAGAAUAUGGUUAAAAAUUGCUGAUAUGAUAGAAGAUUCAAGUAGCCUACCAUUUACAAACAAAAUAUUGAAGAGAAUGUGCUCAAAAGGAAAUGCAUAUGAAUUCUUUAUUGUUGACCAGGAUGGAAAAAUUCUUUGGAACCCAUAGUUAGAAUAAGUUACUUAGGCCUAGUGGUGUACCAGCCAGAAGUAGAGGAUGAUAAAGAAAAUCAAC